Sinocyclocheilus anshuiensis is the source of this 195-nucleotide long non-coding RNA. RefSeq lists it as uncharacterized. The transcript is spliced from 3 exons. The record is from RefSeq and is a predicted model, not a curated record. NCBI's taxonomy places the organism in Eukaryota, Metazoa, Chordata, Actinopteri, Cypriniformes, Cyprinidae.
CUUGAGAAACAUACUGAAACCUCACUAUCACUGAAGAGACAAAACCACUGGCAAAAUGAUGGACCAUAUUUGGCUUCAAAUCCUCUCUCUUGCAGGACUCCUGUCAUUAACUCUGUGUAAACCACAAGAGUAUAUUCUGUACAAGCAGAUAAAGACGUGGGAAAAUGCACAGAAUUACUGCAGGACACACCAUAU